This 263-nucleotide long non-coding RNA is filed under the name Carica papaya (papaya). RNAcentral describes it as "long non-coding RNA (CPAP_LNC008600)". The record is from RNAcentral. Lineage: Eukaryota; Viridiplantae; Streptophyta; Magnoliopsida; Brassicales; Caricaceae.
UCCUCUCUUAUAAAAUGCAGGUACAAAGAUAUGAAGAGAGGAAGACUCCUACUAAACCGAGCAUACUAGGAUGGGUCGCUUCAAGAGGAUGUCGAUCAACUCUUUAAAAUGUUGGAGAGACUUAUCUCUGCCUAGCAGGCCUAUAAAGAAAGGAGGGAGUUGUCUGACCCUCUAUCCCUGCCACAGUUUGAGACACCCCUGCAACAAAAAGAUCUAGUGCCACCCCAAUACAGCCCUACUCCUCCACCAUAUCAUCUGGUACC